CACUGUUUUUCACCUUCACUUCCUCUCCCUCGCCUCUUUGUUUCUCUCUCCUCCCUAUAAGACAGACAGAGAGAGAGAGGGGACUCAAAAGGGUGCGCCAAACGCCUCAACAUGAGCACACCACUGACCACUCUCCUCUCUCUCUCUAAACACACUCAAUAAUACAGAUCCUAAUCUCCGACCAUCCCUCUCCUUUCUCUCCCUCUUAUGUAACCCAAAUCCAUCCCCCCCCUCCAGAUUUUCAGGAAUUAAAUGGGGAAAAAGGUUAAGAAGAAGGCCCGUAGUGUUCAUAAGGAGAAGCAGCCUUCUACCCUUUCUACAAAAACUGUUGCCCAUCCCCAGCAAAGCAUUACAAGCACUGCGGCUGUUGAUGAUGUCAUAAAAGAGAGGAAGCUAUGUUCUCAUCUUGAUCAGGUCAUUGAUUUGGUCAAAGUUUCUUCAAGAUUAGAAUCUCAAGAACGUAUUAGGUGCGAAGAUUGUAGGGAAGUUGUGGUUGAUAGGCGGUCAAGUAAGGGGAAGGGCAAUCAAGGGAAGAAGAAAGGGGGAGGUUCUGGUGAUACUAAAUCCAGUUCCAAAGCAAUGUGGGUAUGUUUGGAUUGUGGCCAUAUUUCAUGUGGAGGGAUUGGACUCCCGAACACCCCUCAAAGCCAUGCAGUUCGACAUGCAAGGCAAACCCGACAUCCAUGGGCAAUUCAAUUUGAAAACCCUCAGUUACGGUGGUGCUUCCAGUGCAAUACACUCAUUCCAGUUGAAACUUUGGAUGAAAAUGGUGAAAAGAAAGAUUUGUUGUUAGGUGUUGUCAAACUGAUAAAGGGGCAAUCAUCUCAAGGGCCCUCUGAGGAUGUUGAGGAUGGUUGGUCAGGGAGUGGAAGCGUUGCAAGUGGGAUAAAAUCGGCAAACACCGCUUCAGCUAGUUUUGAUGGGAAAUAUGGUAAUGUGGUCAGAGGCUUGGUAAAUCUCGGUAAUACUUGUUUCUUCAAUUCAAUCAUGCAGAAUCUCUUGGCAAUGGAUAGAUUACGGGACUAUUUCUUAGAACUUGAUGAGUCUGUGGGGUCGCUUACUGUUUCUUUGAAGAAGUUCUUCUUAGAAGCCAGUCCGGAGUCUGGCUUGAAAAAUUCCAUGAAUCCAAGGUCCUUUUUUGGGUGUCUGUGUGCCAAGGCUCCCCAAUUUCGGGGGUAUCAACAGCACGACAGUCACGAAUUGCUUCGUUGUUUACUUGAUGGAUUGUGUACAGAGGAGUUGAGCGCAAGAAAACAGACCGUAUCAUGGGAAAAUGGGAAUUCCAAAACCCUCGGUCCUACUUUUGUUGAUGCAGCCUUUGGGGGCCAACUAUCUAGUACUGUUUCUUGUUUGGAGUGUGGGCAUUCUUCAACAGUGUUUGAGCCGUUUCUAGAUCUCUCACUUCCAGUUCCAACUAAGAAACCCCCUUCUAAAAGGGCCCCACCUGUUCCUCGAGCUAAGAAGCCAAAACUGCCUCCAAAAAGAAGUGGAAGGAUUCGCCCGAAAACUAAUAGGGAUGCAGAUUCUGUCACAGAAAAAGUGGGAGAUUCUUUGGUGGUUCCUAAAACGAUGGAAUUCACUGGCCCACCUACAGUGGAAGAUAAAAAGUGUUUAGUCUCAUCUAGUCUCUCAACCGCUGAAGAUUUAGAGAAGAAGCCGUUUAUGGAUGAGGAUUCGUUAGACAACUUUUCAUGGUUUGAUUAUCUGGAAUCAGUUCCUGUUUCGAAUGAUCAGGACAUAGCUUCAAAAGCUAAUGAUAUCGCAAUGAUUUAUGAUUCAGGACAAAACAAUGCUGCUCAAGGUGAAGCCUCCCUGAAGGAAACAGGCACAGCAGAUUCAUUGGGCGACCUAACAUGGUUGGAUUACCUUGAGCCAGGUGCUUUACCUGAUGACAAUGACAUUGGUUCAAAUGUUGAUGAUGUAUCCGUAGUCCAAGAUUCUGGAAGCAAGGACGCUCUUCCAAAUGAUAUAUUUUUGCUUCCAUUACAGGUUCAAGUCUCCGAGGACCUGGUGUUUCCUCAGAAAGAAGAAACUUCGAUUAGUGGUGAGAUUUUGAGAGGAGAAGGCGAGGCCUCCUCGUCAGUUGUUGGCUAUGAACCAGAUGCAUCGGACUUUGAUGGUUUUGGAGGCUUAUUUAAUGAGCCAGAAAUUGUUGAAGGCCCCAAUUUAAAAUCCUUGUCUAUUGAUACUAACAUUCAGGGUAAUGAAAUUGCAGAAACUGGUUUCUUAGUUGCAAAUAUCAGUGAGUCUGAUCCAGAUGAAGUCGACAAUAGUGACUCCCCAGUGUCAAUAGAGAGUUGUUUGGCAUUGUUUACUAAGCCAGAGCUUCUUUCUGAUGAACAUGCUUGGCAUUGUGAGAAUUGUUCGAAAGCUGUGCAAAAGCAAAGGAUGCAAUCAAGGAAGAGUAAGCAGAAUGGUGCAUCAGAGAUUCAGAUGAGAGGGGCAGACAAUAGAAUUCAAAGUGCUCCAUCAAAUUCGACAAAUGAAGGCCCCUUCCCUAAUGACGGAGAUAUUAGAGAAACUGUAUUUAGUACGUCUAAUGAAGCGGUAGUGUCAGAAAAUGGUAAAAUUAAUGAUAACCAAAACGAGAAGGAGUUCAGUGAGGAAGCUGGGUUGAUUUUAUCAAUUUCCCAGUUAAAAGAAGGAAGUAGUGACAUGAAUGAUGCAUGUCCAGAGCUAUCACAGUCUUCAAGUUCUUAUAAGACUUGUACUCAAGCAAGUAUCAGUGGUGAAGCUAGUGGUUCUUGCAGUGUUAAUGAUCCUAGUAAUGCUGGAUGUGACACUGGUGAGGUUCAGCAAAUGAAGUCUCAGUUGUUGCCUAAAGGGUCUGAAUCAGAAAGAAGUGACAAUGAGGAGAUGAAUUCUGAUAGCUUGAAGGUGAAGAGGGAUGCAACUAAAAGAAUUCUCAUUAAUAGGGCACCACCUAUUUUGACCAUCCAUCUAAAGAGAUUCAGUCAAGAUGCUCGUGGUCGUUUGAGCAAAUUGAAUGGUCAUGUGGUUUUCGGAGAGACAAUUGAUCUCAGACCAUACUUGGAUCCCAGGUGUUCUUCUGACCCUUGCUUGGGCGUAUUGUUGCUAUUAGUUUCGCAACUUCAUCAGUCCCUUAUCGUUUACUCUUUCUUUCAUUUUUCGAUUUCUCUCUUCCGUGUCAUUUCUACUUACUCAGCAAACUGCUUUCUCUCAGCUUUUAUGUUCGGAAUUUUAUGCUUGUUUAAUGGACUUUGUUGUUGCAGUUUCUAGUAGACAAAUUUUGUUUCAUUCUGGUAUCCUCCUUGUUAAUGCUUCCUACCAGUUUUAGGUGUAUUUAUAUAGAUUCUCUUAUCUAUUGCAGAGAACUGUUGCACUUAUUUUAGUACAUGUUUAUUUUCUCUUCUCUUCCACAAAACCUAUUGUAUGGUUGUAAAUGUUUUCUUGCGUGCUUGUUCUUCUUCUUGUCACAUCUGCAUUUAGGCUAUUAUGCCAGACUAUCAAAGAAACCCGCCAAAGACAGAAGAACCGGUGUGUUGUACAGAUGUAGCCUUCCCAGGAAGCAGGAAAUUGUUUAUUGGCUCCUUUACCUACUCAUAUUCUAAUGAUAUAGAAUGAUAAUGAGCAUGAAUUAUUUGCUUGAGCAUUUUCCUCAUCUAUAAUUGGUGUUUUUUUAAAUAUUAUACACUUUGUCUAAAGUUACUUUGAAAUUGGGUUCUUAGCCAGGUUUAUCCUUGCACGGUGUACCUGUGUGGAAUACUGCUACUAGUGUUUUAGUAGGUAUAUCUACAAUACCCGUAAUGAUAUAGUUCAUGUGAAAGGCUGAAAGCUGAUAGACGGUUCAGACUUAGACAUCACACCCUCGAAUAGGGCAAAAGAAUAGAGCCCACUCUUCAUACCUUCUGAAGUAUAAUAUGUGUACUUGUGUUGCCUUGGACUUAAGGAAAACAUAUUGUGUUUAGGAGGGCCACUGUUUCAAUGGUAUUCUCAGAGCAGCCACUUUGUGCAUAUAUUGCCAAAGGUUAGGUCUAUCUCCAAUCAUCCCCCGCCCAUACCCCCAAUGAUUGGGGACUAGAUGGGUUAUGUUAUGUUGUUGUUGUUGUUGUUGUUGUAUAAACGAAGUAAAAAAGUAUCACAUGUUUUAUGUUGUACUAGUCCUACGCACUGGAUUAGAAAAAGAAAUAAAGUUGCGAGUGCUGAAUAUACCACACUUCUUUUUCUGGUCAAGUCUAACUCUACUUUCUAUUUGGUUAGUAGUUUGAGCCCCACUACUAGCUUGGUGCGCUGAAGUAUAAAAAUGCAUAUUGAUGGGUCAUCUGAGUCAACCCCAGAGACAUUUUGGAAAUAUUUCAGAAACAUGAUGGAGACCUAGAAAAGAAAUGGAGACAUAGGGAAACAUUGGGGGCGAAAAAACCUGUUAUACGUGUGCAUGGGUUAAGGCUUACAAAUCACCAACUAGAUAUGUUUCUGUAGUUCUAUGAGUAAAUUUUUGCAUGUUUGAUUAUAUAUGACUUCAUGGCCUAAUGGAAAGGCGCUAGUUCAGAGAACUAGAGAUUUUGGGUUCGAUUCCUAGUGAAGUUCUCGGCUGCAUGCUUUUCUAAGUUAUGUUUCAGGUUUUGCUAGUAGGUAGUAACAAAGACAAAAUUACAUCUGAACUUAAGUUGAGUCUUCAGACUUUUUUCACUUCUUUCUGAACAUGCCAUUAGUAACAUGUCAAGUCUUAACUUAAGGAGCUCUCACUGCUGUCGACCCAUGAGGGGGACACAGUAGUAGAUCGAGCAGGAGGUGAUGCCAACUCGGAUUUUACUUUCUUUUGGCAGACAUAUAUGAACAAGAGAGAGAAACAAGAGUAUGGAAAGAACCUACCUGGUGAGACGUGAAGAUAGAGUGAGCGAGAGGUGAUGCCAUUCUCGCUAGUGUUGUC
Rhododendron vialii is the source of this 4891-nucleotide RNA transcript. It is a transcript of the gene named ubiquitin carboxyl-terminal hydrolase 2-like, with no coding region annotated. The record is from RefSeq and is a predicted model, not a curated record. The transcript is spliced from 3 exons. Lineage: Eukaryota; Viridiplantae; Streptophyta; Magnoliopsida; Ericales; Ericaceae.